AGCGGGCAGAACUUGCAAGUAUUGAUGGAAACAUUCAGGCUUGGUGUUGGUGGGAGAUGGUGCAAGUAAAGUUGCUCUUUCGGGAGUUGGCUGAUUUGUGCUGUUUUAAGCUGCUGACAAUACGCCGCAUUUGUUUUCAUCAUCGGGUUGCAUGCGACUGAUUUGUGUAGUUUUUAGGUGCUGGGUUCCUGCAAAUCCUUGUGGUUUGAGUCCUGGUUACCGACUACUGAUGCGGUCGUUGAACAUAUGAGCAGGCGUUUAUCNCGGUCAAGAGUCUUUGCGAGUAUGGUGCUUGUGAUGUGUGGACGGGUAACCGUAGCACGUUGUCUGUACUUGCUGUCAGCAAGGGCCCUUUGGCACUGCUUU
This 366-nucleotide ribosomal RNA is filed under the name Pheidole colobopsis. RNAcentral describes it as "partial 28S ribosomal RNA". The record is from RNAcentral. Lineage: Eukaryota; Metazoa; Arthropoda; Insecta; Hymenoptera; Formicidae.